CCUAGUUGAUCCUGCCAGUAGUCAUAUGCUUGUCUCAAAGAUUAAGCCAUGCAUGUCUAAGUAUGAACUAAUUUAGACUGUGAAACUGCGGAUGGCUCAUUAAAUCAGUUAUAUUUUUUUGGAUGGUACCAUACUACUCGGAUAACCAUAGUAAUUCUAGAGCUAAUAUGUGCACCAAGUCCUGACUCUUUGGAAGGGAUGCAUUUUUUAGGUAAAAGGUCGGUGUGGGAUUUCCUCCUUCUUCAGUGAAUCAUGAUAACUCAACGGAUCGCACAACCCUUGUGCUGGUGAUGCUUCAUUCAAAAUUCCACCCUAUCAACUUUCGAUGGUAGGAUAGAGGCCUACCCUGGUGGUGAUAGGUGAUUCCGGAGAGGGAGCCUGAGAAAUGACUACCACAUCCAAUGAAGGCAGCAGGUGCGCAAAUUACCCAAUCCUAACAUGGGGAGGUAGUGACAAUAAAUAACAAUACUGGGCUCAUCGAGUCUGGUAAUUGGAAUGAGUAAAAUCUAAAUCCCUUAAUGAGGAUCCAUUAGAGGGCAAGUCUGGUGCCAACAACCACGGUAAUUCUAGCUCCAAUUGCGUAUAUUUAAGUUGUUGCAGUUAAAAAUCUCAUAGUUGGAUCUUGGGUCAUAAAGGUCAGUCCACCUACUCGGUGUGCACCUGCCCUUCCAUCCCUUCUGUCGGUGGUGUGUUGCUAGCCUUAAUUGGCUGGGUCAUAGCUUCGGCGCUGUUACUUUGAAAAAAUUAGAGUGCUCAAAGCAAGCUUAUGCUCCAAAUACAUUAACAUGGAAUAACGUGAUAGGAGUCUGGUCCUAUUGUGUUGGCCUUCAAUACCGGAGUAAUGAUUAACAGGGACUGUCGAGGGCAUUCGUAUUUCAUUAUCAGAGGUGAAAUUCUUGGAUUUAUGAAAUACGGACCACUACAAAAGCAUUUGGCAAGGAUGUUUUCAUUAAGAAAGAAUGAAAGUUGGGGGCUUGAAGAUGAUCAGAUACCAUCCUAGUAUCAACCAUAAACGAUGCCAACUAGGGAUUGGCAUAUGUUGCUCUAAGGACUCCACCAGCAGCUUCUGAGAAACUAGAGUGUUUGGGUUCCGAGGGGAGUACGGUCACAAGGCUGAAACUUAAAGGAAUUAAUAGAAGGGCACCACUAGGAGUGGAGCUUGUGGCUUAAUUUGACUCAACACGGGAAACUUACCAAGUCCAGACAUAGUAAGGAUUGACAGAUUGAGAGCUCUUUCUUGAUUCUAUGGGUGGUGGUGCAUGGCCAUUCUUAGUUGGUGGAGCAAUUCGUCUAGCUAAUUCCAAUAAUGAAUGAGACAUUAGCCUGCUAACUAGCUACACAGAGGUUCCCCUUUGUGGCCAGCUUCUUAAAGGGACUAUGGUCGUUUAGGCCAUGGAAGUUUGAGUCAAUAAUAGGUAUGUGAUGUGUUACACUGAAAUUUGUCACCAUGACUAUCUGCAGUUAAUAUGGCUCCAUCAAUAGUCAUAUUACCCUCCUUAUCAAGCCUCAUACCUCUGCUCUUCAUGUCAAACUUCAGAAAGAGAGAAAGUCACUUAAAAACAUGUUUAUCUCUGGGUACGCAGGUUCUCUCUGUUAA
This 1597-nucleotide ribosomal RNA is filed under the name Pinus taeda (loblolly pine). RNAcentral describes it as "SSU rRNA". It matches the Rfam family "Eukaryotic small subunit ribosomal RNA", at positions 3 to 1603 of the family's 1831-position model. Lineage: Eukaryota; Viridiplantae; Streptophyta; Pinopsida; Pinales; Pinaceae. The record is from RNAcentral.